AUUGAACGCUAGCGGGAUGCUUUACACAUGCAAGUCGAACGGCAGCGCGGGCUUCGGUCUGGCGGCGAGUGGCGAACGGGUGAGUAAUGUAUCGGAACGUGCCCAGUAGCGGGGGAUAACUACGCGAAAGCGUAGCUAAUACCGCAUACGCCCUACGGGGGAAAGCAGGGGAUCGUAAGACCUUGCACUAUUGGAGCGGCCGAUAUCGGAUUAGCUAGUUGGUGAGGUAACGGCUCACCAAGGCGACGAUCCGUAGCUGGUUUGAGAGGACGACCAGCCACACUGGGACUGAGACACGGCCCAGACUCCUACGGGAGGCAGCAGUGGGGAAUUUUGGACAAUGGGGGCAACCCUGAUCCAGCCAUCCCGCGUGUGCGAUGAAGGCCUUCGGGUUGUAAAGCACUUUUGGCAGGAAAGAAACGUCGCGGGCUAAUACCCCGUGGAACUGACGGUACCUGCAGAAUAAGCACCGGCUAACUACGUG
RNAcentral lists this ribosomal RNA (484 nucleotides) under uncultured bacterium. RNAcentral describes it as "partial 16S ribosomal RNA". It matches the Rfam family "Bacterial small subunit ribosomal RNA", at positions 30 to 507 of the family's 1533-position model. The record is from RNAcentral.